GAAUAACGUUUGGGAACGAACGCUAAUACCGCAUAACAUGAGAGAACGGCAUCGUUCUUUCAUCAAAGAUUUUAUCGCUGAGAGAUGGGCUCGCGGCCGAUUAGGUAGUUGGUGAGAUAACAGCCCACCAAGCCGACGAUCGGUAGCCGGACUGAGAGGUUGAACGGCCACAUUGGGACUGAGACACGGCCCAGACUCCUACGGGAGGCAGCAGUGGGGGAUAUUGCACAAUGGAGGAAACUCUGAUGCAGCGACGCCGCGUGAGGGAAGACGGUCUUCGGAUUGUAAACCUCUGUCUUUAGGGACGAAAAAUGACGGUACCUAAGGAGGAAGCCACGGCUAACUACGUGCCAGCAGCCGCGGUAAUACGUAGGUGGCAAGCGUUGUCCGGAAUUACUGGGUGUAAAGGGAGCGUAGGCGGGGAGACAAGUUGAAUGUCUAAACUAUCGGCCUAACUGAUAGUCGCGUUCAAAACUAUCACUCUUGAGUGCAGUAGAGGUAGGCGGAAUUCCUAGUGUAGCGGUGAAAUGCGUAGAUAUUAGGAGGAACACCAGUGGCGAAGGCGGCCUACUGGGCUGUAACUGACGCUGAGGCUCGAAAGCGUGGGUAGCAAACAGGAUUAGAUACCCUGGUAGUCCACGCCGUAAACGAUGAUUACGAGGUGUGGGGGGACUGACCCCUUCCGUGCCGGAG
Molecule: ribosomal RNA, 693 nt
Filed under: uncultured bacterium
Lineage: Bacteria
Description: bacterial SSU rRNA
Rfam family: Bacterial small subunit ribosomal RNA
Source: RNAcentral